RNAcentral lists this ribosomal RNA (331 nucleotides) under uncultured Oscillospiraceae bacterium. RNAcentral describes it as "bacterial SSU rRNA". It matches the Rfam family "Bacterial small subunit ribosomal RNA", at positions 28 to 339 of the family's 1533-position model. The record is from RNAcentral. Lineage: Bacteria; Bacillati; Bacillota; Clostridia; Eubacteriales; Oscillospiraceae.
GAUGAACGCUGGCGGCGUGCAUAACACAUUCAAGUCGAACGGAGUUGCGAUAGAAAGAGGCUUCGGCCAAUGGAAAUCGUAACUUAGUGGCGGACGGGUGAGUAACGCGUGAGCAACCUACCUAUGCGCGGGGGGACAACAGUUGGAAACGACUGCUAAUACCGCAUAAAUCAUGAUAAAGGCAUCUUUAGCAUGGCAAAGAUUAAUUGCGCAUAGAUGGGCUCGCGUCCGAUUAGAUAGUUGGUGAGGUAACGGCCCACCAAGUCGACGAUCGGUAGCCGGACUGAGAGGUUGAACGGCCACAUUGGAACUGAGAGACGGUCCAGACUCC